GUAGGUGGCAAGCGUUGUCCGGAAUUAUUGGGCGUAAAGCGCGCGCAGGCGGUCCUUUAAGUCUGAUGUGAAAGCCCACGGCUCAACCGUGGAGGGUCAUUGGAAACUGGGGGACUUGAGUACAGAAGAGGAAAGCGGAAUUCCAAGUGUAGCGGUGAAAUGCGUAGAGAUUUGGAGGAACACCAGCGGCGAAGGCGGCUUUCUGGUCUGUAACUGACGCUGAGGCGCGAAAGCGUGGGGAGCAAACAGGGAUUAGAUACCCUGGUAGUCCACGCCGUAAACGAUGAGUGCUAAGUGUUAGGGGGUUUCCCGCCCCUUAGUGCUGCAGCUAACGCAUUAAGCACUCCGCCUGGGGAUACGGCCGCAAGGCUG
RNAcentral lists this ribosomal RNA (372 nucleotides) under uncultured organism. RNAcentral describes it as "partial 16S ribosomal RNA". It matches the Rfam family "Bacterial small subunit ribosomal RNA", at positions 527 to 896 of the family's 1533-position model. The record is from RNAcentral.